Molecule: ribosomal RNA, 478 nt
Filed under: uncultured bacterium
Lineage: Bacteria
Description: partial 16S ribosomal RNA
Rfam family: Bacterial small subunit ribosomal RNA
Source: RNAcentral
GACGAACGCUGGCGGCGUGCUUAACACAUGCAAGUCGAACGGUAAGGCCCUUCGGGGUACACGAGUGGCGAACGGGUGAGUAACACGUGGGUGAUCUGCCCUGCACUUCGGGAUAAGCCUGGGAAACUGGGUCUAAUACCGGAUAGGACUCCGGACUGCAUGGUCUGGGGUGGAAAGCUUUUGCGGUGUGGGAUGGGCCCGCGGCCUAUCAGCUUGUUGGUGGGGUGAUGGCCUACCAAGGCGACGACGGGUAGCCGGCCUGAGAGGGUGACCGGCCACACUGGGACAGAGAGACGGCCCAGACUCCUACGGGAGGCAGCAGUGGGGAAUAUUGCACAAUGGGCGCAAGCCUGAUGCAGCGACGCCGCGUGAGGGAUGACGGCCUUCGGGUUGUAAACCUCUUUCAGCAUCGACGAAGCGAAAGUGACGGUAGGUGCAGAAGAAGGACCGGCCAACUACGUGCCAGCAGCCGCCGCGG